RNAcentral lists this ribosomal RNA (784 nucleotides) under uncultured marine bacterium. Its description in RNAcentral is "partial 16S ribosomal RNA". The stretch from base 1 to 543 matches the Rfam family "Bacterial small subunit ribosomal RNA", at positions 9 to 546 of the family's 1533-position model. The record is from RNAcentral.
GAGUUUGAUCCUGGCUCAGAACGAACGCUGGCGGCAGGCCUAACACAUGCAAGUCGAGCGCGCCUUUCGGGGUGAGCGGCAGACGGGUUAGUAACGCGUGGGAAUAUGCCCUUUGGUACGGAAUAGCCUCUGGAAACGGAGAGUAAUACCGUAUGAGCCCUUCGGGGGAAAGAUUUAUCGCCGAAGGAUUAGCCCGCGUUAGAUUAAGUAGUUGGUGGGGUAAUGGCCUACUUAGCCCCCAAUAAAUACAAGGUUUUUUAGGACCCUUCUUUUAACUGGGGCGGGGGCACAGAAUUAGUCCUGGCUUGAGGUUCUAAAGGGACAUCAUGUACCAUCAUGAACGGAACUGCUUUUUUAUCCCGUGAGAUGCAUUUACGACCCGAGGGCCUUCAUCCUCCACGCANGGUAUACAAAAUAAUUUCACUGCCACCCAAAAAUACUUUCUGCUGCCAGCCGCACCUGUCUUGCGGAUGGUCCACUACUCAUAAUAUAUAACGUCCUCCCACAUCGGCUACUCCUCCCCACACCAACUAAGCCUUGAGCACACGAACUCAUCAACAAGCCAUAAAUUCUUCCAAAAGCGAUAGCUUGCUCCCACAUCGAUGUUGUCGCCCUUCCGGUAAGAANGGGACGUUCGACUANCUAGCGCGACCGUCCGGGGUGAUUCCCANGGGGUGNGCCUUCUUUCACGUNNAUGUAUUCAACUGGUGNUACCCNAUACACUAAUAAGCAUGCANANCUAAUCCACCCCGCCCCCGGUGGAGCUCGGACAACACACAUCGCU